Molecule: non-coding RNA, 74 nt
Organism: Ostertagia ostertagi
Lineage: Eukaryota; Metazoa; Nematoda; Chromadorea; Rhabditida; Trichostrongylidae
Source: the annotation of a GenBank genome assembly
UACCGAUGCCGGGAAUCGAACCCGGGCCUUGCGGGUGUGAGAGCCGCAAAUCCUAACCACUAGACCACAUCGGA